Molecule: transfer RNA, 68 nt
Filed under: Marmota monax (woodchuck)
Lineage: Eukaryota; Metazoa; Chordata; Mammalia; Rodentia; Sciuridae
Description: tRNA.Ala
Source: RNAcentral
GGAUUGUGGCUCAGCGGGAGAGCGCUUGUCUUGCACCUGUCAGGCCCUGGGUUCGAUCCUCAGCACCA